AACAAAAACAUGUCCUUUAGAUUAUAAUUAUAGGUCUAACCUGCCCAAUGAUUUUUUAAUGGCCGCAGAAAUUUAACUGUGCAAAGGUAGCAUAAUCAUUAGUUUUUUAAUUGAAAGCUUGUAUGAAUGGUUGGACGAGAUAAAUUCUGUCUUUUUUUAAUAAUAUGAAUUUAAUUUUUAAGUUAAAAAGCUUAAAUUUAAUUAAUAGACGAGAAGACCCUAUAGAUCUUUAUAAAAUUAUUAUUAAAUAUUUUAAGAAUAUUAAAUUUUUAAUAUGAAAUUUUAUUUUAUUGGGGUAAUAUAAAGAUUUAAAAAAUUCUUUAUUUUUUAUUACAUAAAUAUAUGUUUAUUAGAUCCAAUAAUAUUGAAAUAAGAUUAAGUUACCUUAGGGAUAACAGCGUAAUUUUUUUAGAGAGUUCAUAUCGAUAAGAAAGUUUGCGACCUCGAUGUUG
This 452-nucleotide ribosomal RNA is filed under the name Philaccolus sp. BI-2011. Its description in RNAcentral is "partial 16S ribosomal RNA". The record is from RNAcentral. Lineage: Eukaryota; Metazoa; Arthropoda; Insecta; Coleoptera; Dytiscidae.